This is a long non-coding RNA of Drosophila navojoa, 210 nucleotides long. Lineage: Eukaryota; Metazoa; Arthropoda; Insecta; Diptera; Drosophilidae. The record is from RefSeq and is a predicted model, not a curated record.
GCGGUGGUAAACAAGCCACAUCCAAGGAGUUCAAAAAUUCAGUUUGAUAAUUAGUGGCUUCUUCUUCGUUUGUUACGCAGUCGAUAGAUUUGAAUGAAUACAGACCGCCAUAAUUGCUCGCUCACUUAACCGUUUAGUAUUUUUGUGGUUAGCAAUGAUAUACGGAAAUACUUUGUUGAUAAGCUUAUCUUUUGAUGACACGGAAUUGCA